UCGCAAGUAGUCGAACGCGAAAGCCCCUUCGGGGGUGAGUAGAGUGGCGAACGGGUGAGUAACACGUGGGUAACCUGCCCCUCGCAGGGGGAUAACCGGGGGAAACCCCGGCUAAUACCCCGUACGCUUGCCGGGGCGCAUGCUCCGGCAAGGAAAGGUAGCUUCGGCCAUCCGGCGAGGGAGGGGCCCGCGGCCCAUUAGCUAGUUGGUGGGGUAACGGCCCACCAAGGCGACGAUGGGUAGCUGGCCUGAGAGGGUGGUCAGCCACACUGGGACUGAGACACGGCCCAGACUCCUACGGGAGGCAGCAGCCAGGAAUCUUGCGCAAUGGGCGAAAGCCUGACGCAGCAACGCCGCGUGGGCGAUGAAGGCCUUCGGGUCGUAAAGCCCUGUUGUCGGGGACGAAGGGUGAAGGGUUAAUAGCCCCUAGCCUGACGGUACCCGACGAGGAAGCCCCGGCUAACUACGUGCCAGCAGCCGCGGUAAUACGUAGGGGGCGAGCGUUGUCCGGAAUCAUUGGGCGUAAAGAGCGUGUAGGCGGCCCGGUAAGUCUGCUGUGAAAACCCGGGGCUCAACCCCGGACGUGCAGUGGAAACUGCCGGGCUAGAGGGCGGCAGAGGCGAGUGGAACUCCCGGUGUAGCGGUGAAAUGCGCAGAUAUCGGGAGGAACACCAGUAGCGAAGGCGGCUCGCUGGGCCGUUCCUGACGCUGAGACGCGAAAGCUAGGGGAGCGAACAGGAUUAGAUACCCUGGUAGUCCUAGCCGUAAACGAUGGGCACUAGGUGUGGGGGGGAGUCGAAUCCCUCCGUGCCGCAGCCAACGCGUUAAGUGCCCCGCCUGGGGAGUACGGCCGCAAGGCUA
This 861-nucleotide ribosomal RNA is filed under the name uncultured Actinomycetes bacterium. RNAcentral describes it as "bacterial SSU rRNA". It matches the Rfam family "Bacterial small subunit ribosomal RNA", at positions 51 to 896 of the family's 1533-position model. The record is from RNAcentral. Lineage: Bacteria; Bacillati; Actinomycetota; Actinomycetes.